UACACUCCUGCGGGAGGCAGCAGUGGGGAAUAUUGCACAAUGGGCGCAAGCCUGAUGCAGCGACGCCGCGUGGGGGAUGAAGGCCUUCGGGUUGUAAACUCCUUUCGCUAGGGACGAAGCUUUUUUGUGACGGUACCUAGAUAAGAAGCACCGGCUAACUACGUGCCAGCAGCCGCGGUAAUACGUAGGGUGCGAGCGUUGUCCGGAAUUACUGGGCGUAAAGGGCUCGUAGGUGGUUUGUCGCGUCGUCUGUGAAAUUCUGGGGCUUAACUCCGGGCGUGCAGGCGAUACGGGCAUAACUUGAGUGCUGUAGGGGUAACUGGAAUUCCUGGUGUAGCGGUGAAAUGCGCAGAUAUCAGGAGGAACACCGAUGGCGAAGGCAGGUUACUGGGCAGUUACUGACGCUGAGGAGCGAAAGCAUGGGUAGCGAACAGGAUUAGAUACCCCUGUAGUCCCAUG
This 459-nucleotide ribosomal RNA is filed under the name uncultured organism. Its description in RNAcentral is "partial 16S ribosomal RNA". It matches the Rfam family "Bacterial small subunit ribosomal RNA", at positions 332 to 799 of the family's 1533-position model. The record is from RNAcentral.